Long non-coding RNA from Pseudophryne corroboree (corroboree frog), 847 nucleotides. RefSeq lists it as uncharacterized. The record is from RefSeq and is a predicted model, not a curated record. Lineage: Eukaryota; Metazoa; Chordata; Amphibia; Anura; Myobatrachidae. The transcript has 3 exons.
GUCAAGGAGCUAAGUGUUAUAUUUUUUUAGCAACAAAAACACUUGCUAACUAUUUUGAGUUACUUAUCACAAAUGUCUAACUUGUUUUUUUUCACGUUUUUUUGGGUGGCUGCUUGUCCUGCCCUUUGCCUUUAGCACUGUCAUGUUGUCGUGCUCUGGUGGACCGUCUUGGUGGUGAUGAGACUGGCGUGAUAUUUGGAGUAGUCGUACCAGAACUGCUGCUUGUUUGCUGUUUGUGCAUGCAUCUGAGUGUUUCAUUCAGCAUCUUACACCCAAUGUCAUACUGUAUGGCUCAAGUGGACAUACAUAUCUUUACUGGAUGUGGACAAGGCCAUUUAGCUUGGAUUCUAUUUCAGCUUUUACUUACUGCGUUUGAUACUCACAAUCAAGAUGAGGGGAGUGUGGAUGACGUCUUGGAGGUGUGUCCAAAAUUUGGAGUGGGGGUACAGAACAUACGGACGAUAAUCUUCGUGGCGGGGUAGCCUGCUGUGUUUGUGCCGGGACAUACGACCUUGCUUUCUUUUCGGCCACAGGUUUUUUGUGGUGAUGUCUUACAGAAGUGCCACUUCUGCUGCUCCAUACUUCUUUUGAUGGACCUUUUAAUGAAAGUGCAAUUUUGUUAUGCCCAUUCCUUUACAAGCAUACCCUAUACUACAAUGGACACUUUGGGGUAUAUGCAAUUCACGGCGAAUCGCGGCAAUUUUUCGCCGUUUUUUUAAUUCGACUUAAUUCGACAGGUGAAUUCCGGAAGGUGGCUUCCGGAAUUCACCAUAUUCAAUGAAAAACGGAUUCGCCAGAAUCGCGGGCGAAAAUCGGCCGAUUUGGCGGAUUUUGCCGCGAUUUUAAA